GCCGUUAUAGCUCAGUUGAUAGAGCAGCUGCCUUGUAAGCAGCGAGUCGCCGGUUUGAGCCCGGCUAACGGAUCCA
Molecule: transfer RNA, 76 nt
Filed under: Caudoviricetes sp.
Lineage: Duplodnaviria; Heunggongvirae; Uroviricota; Caudoviricetes
Description: tRNA-Thr
Rfam family: tRNA
About the family: Transfer RNA (tRNA) molecules are approximately 80 nucleotides in length.
Source: RNAcentral